Molecule: ribosomal RNA, 675 nt
Filed under: Entoloma saundersii
Lineage: Eukaryota; Fungi; Basidiomycota; Agaricomycetes; Agaricales; Entolomataceae
Description: eukaryotic LSU rRNA
Rfam family: 5.8S ribosomal RNA (bases 283-436)
Source: RNAcentral
GUCGUAACAAGGUUUCCGUAGGUGAACCUGCGGAAGGAUCAUUAUUGAAUUAACUUGGUUGGGUUGUUGCUGGCUCUUAGGAGCAUGUGCACGUCCACUCCAUUUUUCAACCACCUGUGCACACUUUGUAGGCUUGAAUAACUCUUCGAGGACACUCCUCGGUUUGAGAAUUGCUGUUAAGUGCAGCUUUUCUUGCAUUUCAAGUCUAUGUUUUUUAUAUAUACUCCAUAAGAAUGUAAUAGAAUGUAAAUUAUGGGCCUUUUGUGCCUUUAAAACAAAAACAACUUUCAACAACGGAUCUCUUGGCUCUCGCAUCGAUGAAGAACGCAGCGAAAUGCGAUAAGUAAUGUGAAUUGCAGAAUUCAGUGAAUCAUCGAAUCUUUGAACGCACCUUGCGCUCCUUGGUAUUCCGAGGAGCAUGCCUGUUUGAGUGUCAUGAAAUUCUCAACCUCUCUGGCUUUUAUUAGCAAGUUAGGAUUGGAUUGUGGAAGCUGCUGGUUUUGUUAGAAAUCAGCUCUUCUUAAAUGUAUUAGCAAAAUCUUUGCAGACUAUCKCUGGUAUGAUAAUUAUCUAUACCAUUGAAAAGUAGCUCCUAUGGGAGGGUUUUGCUUCUAAUAGUCCAUCUGGACAAACUUGACAAUUUGACCUCAAAUCAGGUAGGACUACCCGCUGAAC